This 21-nucleotide non-coding RNA is filed under the name Caenorhabditis elegans. The record is from RNAcentral. Lineage: Eukaryota; Metazoa; Nematoda; Chromadorea; Rhabditida; Rhabditidae.
UUCCAUGUUGCUUUUUGCAAA